Oncorhynchus tshawytscha (Chinook salmon) is the source of this 344-nucleotide long non-coding RNA. The record is from Ensembl. NCBI's taxonomy places the organism in Eukaryota, Metazoa, Chordata, Actinopteri, Salmoniformes, Salmonidae.
CAGGAGAGGAAGAGGAGAGUAGAAGACAGCAGGAGAGGAAGAGGAGAGUAGAAGACAGCAGGAGAGGAAGAGGAGAGUAGAGGACAGCAGGAGAAGAAGAGGAGAGUAGAGGACAGCAGGAGAAGAAGAGGAGAGUAGAAGACAGCAGGAGAAGAAGAGGAGAGUAGAGGACAGCAGGAGAAGAAGAGGUGAGGAGAGGACAGCAGGAGAGGAAGAGAGAAUACAGUAAAAGAGAGGAAAAAGUUCAGUCUUUCUUAUAUUAGAAAAUUGACCUUCUUCUGAUGGAUUCAGAUGAUUCCAAUAUGUCCUAUUUGUUUGUGAUUGGGGCCUGUAGAUACUACAUG